CCUACGGGAGGCUGCAGUGAGGAAUAUUGGUCAAUGGUCGGGAGACUGAACCAGCCAAGCCGCGUGAGGGAGGAAGGUACAGAGUAUCGUAAACCUCUUUUGUCAGGGAACAAAGGCGGGGACGUGUCCCCGGAUGAGUGUACCUGAAGAAAAAGCAUCGGCUAACUCCGUGCCAGCAGCCGCGGUAAUACGGAGGAUGCGAGCGUUAUCCGGAUUUAUUGGGUUUAAAGGGUGCGCAGGCGGUCUGUUAAGUCAGCGGUCAAAGCCCGGGGCUCAACCCCGGCCCGCCGUUGAAACUGGCAGUCGCGAGUUGGAGAGAAGUAUGCGGAAUGCGCGGUGUAGCGGUGAAAUGCAUAGAGAUCGCGCAGAACUCCGAGUGCGAAGGCAGCAUGCCGGCUCCACACUGACGCUGAGGCACGAAAGCGUGGGUAUCGAACAGGAUUAGAUACCCGUGUAGUC
This 459-nucleotide ribosomal RNA is filed under the name uncultured bacterium. Its description in RNAcentral is "partial 16S ribosomal RNA". It matches the Rfam family "Bacterial small subunit ribosomal RNA", at positions 338 to 795 of the family's 1533-position model. The record is from RNAcentral.